AAUUUUUUUAUUAAAUACAGUUUACAGCGAUGAAGACAUUAAUUUUGGCAUUUGUAUUUUGCGGGAGAAUACAAACAACAAGGUGUGGUAUGCCUUGGUACGUGGAGGAAACAAGUUAGACACAUAAGCACAUAUGUACUAGACGCAAAUAAUGUCACAAAAACGGUUUAAAAUAUCUGGUUUUCAGUUUGC
Arabidopsis thaliana (thale cress) is the source of this 192-nucleotide RNA transcript. RefSeq lists it as uncharacterized. The transcript has 2 exons. The record is from RefSeq. NCBI's taxonomy places the organism in Eukaryota, Viridiplantae, Streptophyta, Magnoliopsida, Brassicales, Brassicaceae.